UUCCCAGUGCAUUAUUGUUUCAUUCUUAGCAAGUUUUCAGUCUUUAAUUUUCUUCCCAAACGAAUAAGCUAUAAGCAUUUUUCAUGGUCUUUCUACUAUGCCAAAAUCGGUUUUCUUGGAUGGUCUUGGAAGAUCUGUAAUAAGUUGGGUGAGAAUUGAAGCUAAUACUAUACAGCCUGUACAUGCA
Ipomoea nil (Japanese morning glory) is the source of this 187-nucleotide long non-coding RNA. RefSeq lists it as uncharacterized. NCBI's taxonomy places the organism in Eukaryota, Viridiplantae, Streptophyta, Magnoliopsida, Solanales, Convolvulaceae. The record is from RefSeq and is a predicted model, not a curated record. The transcript is spliced from 3 exons.